This 2928-nucleotide ribosomal RNA is filed under the name Salmonella enterica subsp. enterica serovar Dublin. RNAcentral's name for it is "bacterial LSU rRNA". It matches the Rfam family "Bacterial large subunit ribosomal RNA". The record is from RNAcentral. Lineage: Bacteria; Pseudomonadati; Pseudomonadota; Gammaproteobacteria; Enterobacterales; Enterobacteriaceae.
GGGUUGUGAGGUUAAGCGACUAAGCGUACACGGUGGAUGCCCUGGCAGUCAGAGGCGAUGAAGGGCGUGCUAAUCUGCGAUAAGCGCCGGUAAGGUGAUAUGAACCGUUAUAACCGGCGAUACCCGAAUGGGGAAACCCAGUGUGAUUCGUCACACUAUCAUUAACUGAAUCCAUAGGUUAAUGAGGCGAACCGGGGGAACUGAAACAUCUAAGUACCCCGAGGAAAAGAAAUCAACCGAGAUUCCCCCAGUAGCGGCGAGCGAACGGGGAGGAGCCCAGAGCCUGAAUCAGCAUGUGUGUUAGUGGAAGCGUCUGGAAAGGCGCGCGAUACAGGGUGACAGCCCCGUACACAAAAGCGCAUGUGCUGUGAGCUCGAUGAGUAGGGCGGGACACGUGGUAUCCUGUCUGAAUAUGGGGGACCAUCCUCCAAGGCUAAAUACUCCUGACUGACCGAUAGUGAACCAGUACCGUGAGGGAAAGGCGAAAAGAACCCCGGCGAGGGGAGUGAAAAAGAACCUGAAACCGUGUACGUACAAGCAGUGGGAGCACAGGUUUACCUGUGUGACUGCGUACCUUUUGUAUAAUGGGUCAGCGACUUAUAUUCUGUAGCAAGGUUAACCGAAUAGGGGAGCCGGAGGGAAACCGAGUCUUAAUUGGGCGUUAAGUUGCAGGGUAUAGACCCGAAACCCGGUGAUCUAGCCAUGGGCAGGUUGAAGGUUGGGUAACACUAACUGGAGGACCGAACCGACUAAUGUUGAAAAAUUAGCGGAUGACCUGUGGCUGGGGGUGAAAGGCCAAUCAAACCGGGAGAUAGCUGGUUCUCCCCGAAAGCUAUUUAGGUAGCGCCUCGUGAAUUCAUCUCCGGGGGUAGAGCACUGUUUCGGCUAGGGGGCCAUCCCGGCUUACCAACCCGAUGCAAACUGCGAAUACCGGAGAAUGUUAUCACGGGAGACACACGGCGGGUGCUAACGUCCGUCGUGAAGAGGGAAACAACCCAGACCGCCAGCUAAGGUCCCAAAGUCAUGGUUAAGUGGGAAACGAUGUGGGAAGGCCCAGACAGCCAGGAUGUUGGCUUAGAAGCAGCCAUCAUUUAAAGAAAGCGUAAUAGCUCACUGGUCGAGUCGGCCUGCGCGGAAGAUGUAACGGGGCUAAACCAUGCACCGAAGCUGCGGCAGCGACGCUUAUGCGUUGUUGGGUAGGGGAGCGUUCUGUAAGCCUGUGAAGGUGGCCUGUGAGGGUUGCUGGAGGUAUCAGAAGUGCGAAUGCUGACAUAAGUAACGAUAAAGCGGGUGAAAAGCCCGCUCGCCGGAAGACCAAGGGUUCCUGUCCAACGUUAAUCGGGGCAGGGUGAGUCGACCCCUAAGGCGAGGCCGAAAGGCGUAGUCGAUGGGAAACGGGUUAAUAUUCCCGUACUUGGUGUUACUGCGAAGGGGGGACGGAGAAGGCUAUGUUGGCCGGGCGACGGUUGUCCCGGUUUAAGCGUGUAGGUGUGUGUUCCAGGUAAAUCCGGUUCACUUUAACACUGAGGCGUGAUGACGAGGCACUACGGUGCUGAAGUAACAAAUGCCCUGCUUCCAGGAAAAGCCUCUAAGCAUCAGGUAACAUCAAAUCGUACCCCAAACCGACACAGGUGGUCAGGUAGAGAAUACCAAGGCGCUUGAGAGAACUCGGGUGAAGGAACUAGGCAAAAUGGUGCCGUAACUUCGGGAGAAGGCACGCUGACACGUAGGUGAAGUGAUUUACUCAUGGAGCUGAAGUCAGUCGAAGAUACCAGCUGGCUGCAACUGUUUAUUAAAAACACAGCACUGUGCAAACACGAAAGUGGACGUAUACGGUGUGACGCCUGCCCGGUGCCGGAAGGUUAAUUGAUGGGGUCAGCGCAAGCGAAGCUCCUGAUCGAAGCCCCGGUAAACGGCGGCCGUAACUAUAACGGUCCUAAGGUAGCGAAAUUCCUUGUCGGGUAAGUUCCGACCUGCACGAAUGGCGUAAUGAUGGCCAGGCUGUCUCCACCCGAGACUCAGUGAAAUUGAACUCGCUGUGAAGAUGCAGUGUACCCGCGGCAAGACGGAAAGACCCCGUGAACCUUUACUAUAGCUUGACACUGAACAUUGAGCCUUGAUGUGUAGGAUAGGUGGGAGGCUUUGAAGUGUGGACGCCAGUCUGCAUGGAGCCGACCUUGAAAUACCACCCUUUAAUGUUUGAUGUUCUAACGUGGACCCGUUACCCGGGUUGCGGACAGUGUCUGGUGGGUAGUUUGACUGGGGCGGUCUCCUCCUAAAGAGUAACGGAGGAGCACGAAGGUUGGCUAAUCCUGGUCGGACAUCAGGAGGUUAGUGCAAUGGCAUAAGCCAGCUUGACUGCGAGCGUGACGGCGCGAGCAGGUGCGAAAGCAGGUCAUAGUGAUCCGGUGGUUCUGAAUGGAAGGGCCAUCGCUCAACGGAUAAAAGGUACUCCGGGGAUAACAGGCUGAUACCGCCCAAGAGUUCAUAUCGACGGCGGUGUUUGGCACCUCGAUGUCGGCUCAUCACAUCCUGGGGCUGAAGUAGGUCCCAAGGGUAUGGCUGUUCGCCAUUUAAAGUGGUACGCGAGCUGGGUUUAGAACGUCGUGAGACAGUUCGGUCCCUAUCUGCCGUGGGCGCUGGAGAACUGAGGGGGGCUGCUCCUAGUACGAGAGGACCGGAGUGGACGCAUCACUGGUGUUCGGGUUGUCAUGCCAAUGGCACUGCCCGGUAGCUAAAUGCGGAAGAGAUAAGUGCUGAAAGCAUCUAAGCACGAAACUUGCCCCGAGAUGAGUUCUCCCUGAGACUUAAAGUCUCCUGAAGGAACGUUGAAGACGACGACGUUGAUAGGCCGGGUGUGUAAGCGCAGCGAUGCGUUGAGCUAACCGGUACUAAUGAACCGUGAGGCUUAACCCUACAACGCCGAAG